GCCCCAUCCCCUCACUUGAGGGCGACGCCCUUUGGGGAGGCGCCCUUUUAGGACGUCAGCACGGCAGCCUGGAACCCAGCAUUGUGAGGGGCGUGGCCUGAAGGAGCCGUUACCCUCGUGACCACUGUCUGGGUUGCCCAGACUAGCUGCGGGCGUAGAGAGGGAAAGGUGUGCGCGAAGAGAAGAAACCGAGACGGCUUGUGGCACCCUAGCCCCCGGCCCCCUGGGGGCUGAUGGCUGUCCAUGGACCGGUACCUCAAUAACUGCUACAAGGCUGCCCAGGCCGCCGCCUCUAAGGAGGCCGCCAGCAGCCUAACUGCCAACAGGGAGCUCUGUGACUCUGCGAGUGGAGGCCAGUCGGGCACACACAAAGACCCCAUCCCAGAGGUCGGAGCCGCUAAGCUAUUGGAUCUUCCUCUUUCGGUCAAGCUUCCGGUUAUUCCAGGAAGUAAUGUAUUCUAUACUACAAAUUUAAGUGAAAAGCUUUAUCAACCUUCUUAUGACUUUAACCUGUCUGAUCCGUAUUGUCAACUUUUGGAAACUGGCUAUAAAAACCUGCACCAUCCACAUUUAAAAUCGUACUAUAGGGGAAAAGAUAUCCCGAGGAGAUUAAAGAAAGGCGGCUAUGUCACCAGCAAUAAUAAGGUUUUAUGCACCUUGAACAAAUUGAAUAAGUACAGGCAGUAUCUCACCAGUUUGAAAUUAGACUUUGAAAGAAACUAUGUAAGAGAACAAAAAAUGAUUGAAAAACAAGUAAAUAAAUUGUAUGAAACCAAGAGAGCCUGUGACAGUCAUGGCAGUACACAGUUCCAAGAUUUGCUGUUACAAGAAAAUAAACAAACAACUCCAGACCAAGAGCUGUUGAUAAAGCAAAGAUAUUUAGAUAUGAUUAGCUUGGAAUUAAACAAGCUUGAACACAUGGCAGAAAAGCAGAAUGUACUCUGGAUAAAGGAAGAAGAAAGACUACAUCGGGACCACAUUAGAAGAAAACUUAGUCUCCGGAGACAAAUUGAAGAGAAAUGGAAAACAAAUGAAAUGUUACUUCUGUCAAAGAUUGGAGAAGAAGUAAAAAGAGAAUCAAGACUUGAAGAACAACGUAAAAAAGUCAAAGAAGAUGCUCACCGUAAGAAAAAAGCACAACUCAAGAAAAAAAUCACUUAUCAUUUACCAAAAAUGCAAAGGAAUGACCUUCAGAGAGAAGGAUCAGAAGAAAAUGUAUUUGAAAACAGAAGUCAAGAUGAAACAGAAGGUGAGAGAGAAACAAUAAAAGACAAAGCUUCUUAUCCAAAGAUCAAGAAAAUGAGUGUCACUGCCGGUCACCAGAAGUCACACCAAGGACAAAAAAGACCAUCCCAGCAUUUGUAUAGUUCUGUAAAGACUCCCGAAAGAAGAUCAACCUUGUUGCAUUCUCCACAUGAUGUAAAGAGUAACACAACAGAACAAAAGAAAGAUAGAGAAACCAUUAGGACAUCAUAUCCUUCAAAUGAUGGAGAAAUUACUACACUUCAGAGUCCAGGUGUUUCUGCGAAAACACCAAGUAUCUGUAGAUACUGUCUACAGGAUACUUCAAAACAACAGGUGACACGUGCUGAUUUGAAUGGGGAAAAGGCCAAGAAAUCAAGCUUAAACUAUGAGCCAGCUCCCGGAGUCUCCUUCAUUCACGACUCACCCAUUAGACAAGACUACCAUCCAAAUCGCUGUCAAGAGAAAGUAACUUCUGAAGAACUGAACAGUAGAAUUCAAAAUGUCAUGACCUGGGUCGUGGCUGCAGUGACCAGUGUAUUAUACCCAGCCAUCACAAAAUAUGAAGAAAGAUUGCAAAAUAUUACAUGCCCAAUGCCUGAUAACUCCACCCUCUCUUCUGAUAGUGCGAGUUGCUGCAGCUCAUGCUGUGAGACAUUUCUGUAUGAAACAAGUAAGAUGGUUCAGGCGGAGCCCUGUACAGAGGCAGCUGACAGGUCAAUAGAGCAGCCAGUGGCCCCAUCAAAAUCAUCUCUUGCCCGUAAAGAAAGAACAGAUGUAGAAACAACAUAUCACAGGAAAGAACACUUGGAAGACAAACCUAAAGCCCCCAAACCUGAAUAUAAUGAGAUAUCUGAAUCCGCCAACCUUAAAACCUGUAAAUCCGAUAGUCACCUUGUUGUACGGAUUGAAACAGGCACUAGGAAAUGUAAAGAUGAAACAGAUAGCCUAGAAUGCCCACUGUCUUCAGAUGAAAAAGCAAAAGCUAUCAAUGAGAUGCAGGAGUUAAAUAAUGUUUAUGUUAACUUUAAACAUCAUCUAAAAGAGGAAGCUGAGUUGAUUUUAAGAAACGUUUUUCAGGAAAUGGUGUCUGAACUAACCCAGACCAUCCCCACCCUUUCCUCUGUUACGACCGAACCUUUGCCUGCCCAAACUGACACGGACAAAGGAGACUUGCUCUCCAAUGUUGAUAUUUCCUCAGCAGCUGCUGAAAUUAUGGAAAAUGUGCUUGGGAAGUUACAGUCUGCAGUUAAGAAAACAUGUACUGAGGAAUUUUCACCAGGAAAUGUAUCAGUUCACUUUAAAUCAGAUUAAGUCAGUGGAGAACAUUUUAUUUCUCCAAAAGAAAAAACUUCAGAAGUUUCACUGCCUUAUGCUUUGGAGAACAUGAAUGAUGUUGCAGAGGACAUGGUUCGUGUGAUUUUAGAAAAGCUGACGGUCCUUGCAUCUGCUAAGCAAAGUGAAUUGGCUCAUCUUAAAAUCACUACUGACCCAGCUUAUCAGCAACACAGAGAAGACCCAACGUAUACGUUCCUUCAAAGAGCCAGCAAACGGAAAUCCAGUGCUAAGACCGAUGCUCCCAGUUUGAUUGCAAAGAAGAAAUACAAAAUUUAGUCUCAACUAUUUGUUCCAAGUCCUCUCUGGUUGGUUAUAUAAAGGAAGCAGUCAGCACUAUACUAGGUUAUAUACAAGUUGGACUUCAUAAUGAAAGGCUAGUUGCAACUGAAGAAACAGUGAUCAUCCUACAGCUACUUGAUGCUCUCUUGGCUCAGCUGCAUCAGAAACCAGUGAAAACAGAUGUCCGAAAGAGCAGACACUCCAGAAUAAGCAGUCCCUCUGGCACUGAAGAAAGGAACAGACUCACCAGGACUGGAGUAGCUAGUGCUCCUAGGUAUGGGAGCCUGUUUCCACCUGUUAAUGUUCCUGGUGUGGCCCUUUAUUCUGAAGACAAAAAUGAAGAAAGAGACAGAAUUGUAGAAAAUGUAUUGAUUUCAUCUGUCAAAGACGAAAAAGCAAAAUUACAAGAACAGGUUCCUGACUACUGGUUAACUGGAGAAAACAAUGAUUUUAAACGCAGAAGAAAUAUGAACUUACCUACAAAGCCUGCUUAUGGACGCAAAGGAGCAUUUCACGAUCAGGGAUUAAAUACUGACUUUCCAGCUUUUAAUAAGGACCCUUUAAAGGACAAGCCAAGUUGGAAUAAAGACAUUUUGCUUUUCAGUCAAGAUGAAACAUAUCAAAUACAAAAAGCCUCAGAAGAUAUAUAAUUAGGAGUAUUUUAGCAAAGAUGCUCAAAGAUCUAUCUUCUGGGCCAUCUGAUCGCUCAGAUUAUGAAGAUGGUAGAGAGGCUUCACUUCUUACCUCAAGAGAACCACAGGAUCCAUCACAUCAAGAAUGGAUGGACCAGAUGUCCUCUGUGUCAGAAAUCCAUACGGUAUCUCAAGAUACUGUAGAUGCUAUAUUAAAAAUACUUCACGUAACUUCUUGUCAUAUUAUCGAACAUUCUUCAUCAGUACAUCAAACUCCUCUAGAUAAUGCUGAUGUACCAAACAAAGAGUUAUUACAAAUAUGGUUUGACAGUAAAAGGAAGAUGAAAAUUUUAUCUGCACUUAGCGUGGACCCUACAAAACUUUCCUGGGUAGAAUCUGGAACAAGUGGCUCAACAUCAGAAUCUGUAGAUAACCUUAAUGAUAAAACCAUUAGCACAAUUUUUAAGAAGUUGAACUCAUUUAUUUGUCCAAAAUUACAAACCUGCUUCAAACCAGAAAGCCAUGCUGCCCAUUCAAAGCCUGCUCCUGACAAGAAAUCUUCAUUUCGAUCUCACCUUAGUACUUUCACAACUAAAGUGGUAAAAAUUGUUUUGGGUGCUAUCCAGAAAGAACUACGACACAAUAAGAAAAAUCUAAAUGUUAGGAAGAAUAGCCCUCCCAAGAACUUUAGAGAUACAGGAUUUUUUGCUGACGCCGAAAAUGAAUUAGACUCUGUUGUCACAAAGCUAAAUAAUGACAUUAUGACAAGUUCAUUAGCUACUUGCAUUUGUGAGGUGUUAAGUGGAAACACAGAUAAAAGUAAUAUUUUACUCCCUUCAGAUAAGCUAAGGUCUAAAAUCUCACAUGGGACUGAUGGCAUUGAUCAACAAAAACUUUUGCCUUCUCAUUGCCCUCGCAUGCAGAAGGAAGUUCACCAAUGUACUAGAUUUCAAGUGUUAGGUAGAAUUGGAGAUGCCUUGUAUGGUAUGUUAUGCAAGCUCACUGGAGACCACCCACAUGCUCCCCUAUCUGAUGAGCAAAAUACAGAGGGGAUCAAUAAGAAUUUGAGAACAACCAGUACACUGCAGUCCAGUAUUAAGCUCAUUUCUCGUACAAUUCUAGAAGGUAUUGUUUGAAAACUAUGUGGUGUUGAGACAGAUGGCAUUUUCAAAAAUUCAGAAUUUAAAGCUAUCUCAGAGCGUAUUGACACUGACAGCCUGUCAUUUGCUUUGCUUCUUGAGGAAAUGAGCAGAUGCUAUGACAUAAUCUCAAGCAUAGCAUCCAAUGUGACCUGGCCAGGUAGCCAAGAGAUAACUAACAAGGGGAAAACUACAGGUAGCCAAGAGAUAACUAACAAGGGGAAAACUACUGCCCCCAAAAUAGGAACCAGAAAAGAAAAGCAUCUGAAUAAACUGAAAACCUUGGCCUCGGACAUCUUUGAAAUGGUUUUUGCUAAGUUGGAAGGGUUUGCCAAUAGAAAUUUGGAAAAUCUUGGUGCUAUAAUCUGUGGAUAUAAAAAGAACAAGACAUACUGUGAAAGUGAAAAUACCAACAUUUGUGGUAACACACAUGAAAAACGAUUGCAGUCGACUUUAUACAGGCAUGCAAAGAAAGUGUCAAGUACUAUUUUGAAAGCUCUUCAAACUGAAUUAAACAUGAACUUGCCAGAUUUGGAAACAUGUAUAAGUAAGCCACUACAAGAGAAACAAAUACUUAAGAGUUUAGUCAAUUUCAUUUUAGAUGCAGUGUCUCCAGAUAUGUUUAACGAACCUGAACCAGAAGAGAGAGGCAUUGAAAAUUACAGAUAUAGGCCAAUCUAUGGAAAUUUUCUUCCUGGAGGAGCUGACCCAGAUUCAUAUCUAGAAGAUCCUGCAGAUACAGAGAAAGAAAGUGCUGUGGAGGAAAGACCAGCAGAAGAUGAAACUAAAUCCGAUUCUCUUAAGCAACAGGAACUAGAAAAAAACACUAAAAACUUUUGAAGUGGAACUCAAAGAGCCAAAAAAGUCCCCAGUUGUGCCCAUUGUAAGAAAUACUUUGAAUGAAAUUUUUCACAAUGAUUUAAUUGGUCAGUUAAAGGUGUUUACUCUUCCCCAGUCCCAUUUAUGUGACAUUCCUCAUGCUGAAGAUGAACCAUUUGCUCAAACAUCUGUUCAGUCCCUGGAGAAAACAGUGGGCCCUUUAGUAUCUGAAGCAGAUGUAACCAUUGUUGCAGAUGGUGUCGUUAGAACCAUAUUUCAAAAACUUUAUUCUGCUGCCAUGACAGAUAGAAAUGAAAGUGAAAAUAGGUAUAAUACUAUCACCUUUCCAGCAGAUAAUCUCUUUUCCUAAACCUACCCAUGGAGGAAAGUCCCCUGUUUAUUCUACCAUACUGGAUAGAAAUCCACGCACAUUUCAGUCCACUUUCAAUAUUGGUAAACUGACCAAAAUAAAUGUAGUUGAAGAUAUUAUACAGUCAAUAUUAACAAAUUUAGAAGCAUUUGCUACUUCCACAGUAAAGGCUCUCUUUUGUCCUCACAUCAUUUUCACAGUUCCUGUGGCUUUACCUUCACAGCAGGAUGAGAUUGCUUUACAACAACCAUGGUUAUCCACCAAAGAUUCAUAUUCUGAAGACCAAUUUUCUUGUUGCUCAAUGGAUCACAGUAAAUCCGGAAAGACCGCCUCGAUAUGUCAACUGAGUGCCUCUAAAUUAAAUAUGUAUGCAACAGAAGUGGCUAGACAAAUUUUACAAGGAAUCAAACAUAAAUUAGAUCAAGACAUAAGAAGUCCAUUCUUAACUCAGAGUGUUGUGGCCUUUGAAAGUAUUCCAAGUCAGGUUGUUAGCACAGUGCUAGAUACUGUGUCUACUAAAGGCAAAUAUGAAAAAAAUGUAUUUGACAGAGAGACUGAUCCAGUUGCACCAGAAGAUAUUAUUGAAAAGCUAUUCAAUAAAAGUGAUUAUCGUAAAAGAACUUCAAUUUCAAGUACUAGAUACCAUUGAAGGUAUCUUAAUUGAUAUCUGUGAGGAAACAAUAGAUGAGAAUAAUCUCCCACUUGCUGUAUCCACUCUUAAAUGUAAUGUAAGUGGGAGACAUUUAGAAACAAACUCUGAAAGGGACCCUAGGUAUACAAAUAAGGCUAUUCUUACACUUUUAGUUCCUAAGGAGCGCGUUGCUAUGAUUUCCAAUGAUAUGGUGGAUAUUGUUCUUUAAAAUCUCACUUCUGCUAUCAUGGUUCGCAUCAGUGCAAAUGAUUCCAUUUCUCCAAGAUUGUCUACAGCAUUUUCUGAUGCAUUUUCCAAAGCAGAGCAUCAACAAUCUCCCAUUAAAGACUCAGUGAAUGGAAGGGCAGAGCGUCAACAACCUCUUGUUACAGACUAAGUGAAUGAAAGGGCAAAGCGUAAGCAACCUCCUGUUAUAGAUUCAGUGAAUGAAAGGAAAAGGGAGAGAUUUCCUCUUGCAAGAAAGGUAAGAGAUAUUCAGCUGAAAUCAGCUCUUUCUGAUGAUAAUCAGACAACUGUACUUAAGAAACAAGAUGCUAAGAAACCUACUCCUGAUCCAUGUAAGGAAAAUGCUUACUGUUACUUUAUUACUAAAACUAUUUUGAAUAGAUUAAAAUCUUUUGCCACAGAAAGAAUAGAUUUGCUACUUAUUCUUGAUCCUGAGACUAGAGAAAAACCGGAUGUUGGCUCAGAAUUUACAAAUUGUAAACAAAAUGACAGUGUGUUUCUUGAAUCAAACCAAACGCCAUUAGAUGUGACUGUCCCGAAAAUAUCAACAGCUGGAACCAUUGUCCAUCAAGAAGUCACAAAUUACACAUUAGCUAAUUACAGAGAAAACCAUAGACCUGCAAUUCAUAUAUCACAAGCUAGUCUUAAGGAAUAUGCUGACCUCAUCGCCAGUACCAUUUUGACGCUUAUAAAAAAUGACAAAGACCUAGAAAUCCAAAAGAUGUAUACAUAUCAAACAAUACUUCAUUUCAAGAAAACAUCAUUGCAAGUGAAACUGUCAACAACAUCUUAAAGAGUUUAUGUAAUAAAGUAUCUUUGAAGGCAAGUGGCUUUUACUCAAAGCAGGACCCUGAUCUUUUUACCCAACUAGCUGUACAAAAUGAAAUAGUGCCAGGUCAAAGAAAAAUGGAAGACAACACCAAACUGUCUCUCUUUUCAAAAUAGUCAGGUGAAAACCAAAAAACACAAGAAGUGGAAAACCAGAGAAGGACAUUGGAAGAAAUAUUUAGAAAUGGAGAAUCUGGACAGGAAAAAACAAAUUCUUUGUUAAGUGUAGUUAAGGAAAUUUUAAAGAAGGCAUAUCAAAGGGUAUUGGAAAACACAGAACAUUGUUCUCCAUUCAAUGAACUCCCCCACUUUACAUCUGAUUCUAAAAUUAAAACAUCAGCAUGAAAAAAAGCCUUACAGUCACAUAUAAGCAGUGUUGUAAAUGACACAGUUGAAAGUGCUUACACAAAACUGUUCUCAGUAAUUAUGACCUCGUUAUAUGAAAACAGUGAGACCAGAGGAGAAAUGGAAGCCUCUGGCAGUGAUGGAUUACUGAUGAAUCCAUCAUGCUUUAGAGAACUGAAACAAGCAGAAAAAAGCAGUGUUCCCCCUAAACCUGUGAUACCACAAGUUUAUCCUUACACAGGCAUUGGAAGUGUCAGUUCAUUGGAAAACACCUUAUUGCAAUUUUCUCCAUUGCGACUGGGUAAACACUUGGUUCAAAAGGUUCUCAAAAAGAUCACAGAUUUUGCUUUGCUGAAUCUAGAAGAGAAUUCGUCCCCUAAAGGUCAAUCUGAUGAAAUUCUGAGGCCAUGUAAUUCUAAAGCUAGCCCCAAGGGCAGCCCUAGGGCAAGUGUUAAGACAAAUUUUAAAACAAAAUCAAAAGUUAACUCUUUGUCUAAAUUUGGAACAAAACCACAGCUCAGACCUAGUGGAGCUAAAGCCCAAAGCAAAACCAAGUUAGGUCCUAGAGAAAAGACCCUAAAAGGUAGCUGGUCCAAGACUUCCAUUGGGCUCCCACACCUACUGUCAAUAGGGGAGGCCAAAAGUCCCUCACUGAGAGCAAAACUCCCCACUGCAGAGCUAAAAAUGUAUGCCAGGGAUAUACUACGUAAUAUUCUGCAAACAACUGUGAAUGAAUUUGAAGAGGUGAGGCAAAACAGAGCAGUGGCAAAUGUAAACACUUUACUUUCUGAUCAAAUUGAGAGAGCAAGUGGAAUAGUGAGUGCAGUUUUGCAAGGACUACAUGCUAUGAAGAAUAAUUUGGCCAAUCCAAUAAAAGGCUCACAUUCAGAUGAUCUCAAACUUCCACGGGGGGUAUUUUAGUACAACCUCUGCUGCAAAUCCAGAAGCCCAUUUCUCCUUGGAGAAUGUUUCUUCACAACUAGACAAACUCUUUCCCAAAGAAGAUAUUUUUAAACAAAUGUUUGACAAAUGGCAAACAGAAUCAAGCAACAUGGAUAACGAAAAAUAUAAGCUACCAAUGAUAGCCGAGGCUGUUUUGAAUGAAAUUUCAACAAAAGCAAAAGAAUUAAAACUCCAUUUCACUUUUAGGUUUGUCACUUCUUGAGCCAUGUGAAAGCAGUCACCAUCAUUUUAAAAGAGCUGCUUCUAGAGUUGAGGAUUCUCAAGCACAAAUUAAUAUAUUUGGCCAGGAAAUCAUUAAAAAACUAUUUGAAAAAUUAGAGUUGUGCUUCUUGACUCAGAUGUUCACAACGGAUAGUAAAGAAACACUACAAAGCAAGAAAGAAACUGCUGCUAGAAGAAAAUGUGGUUCCUCAUGAACAAUCUUAACGAUGUACCAACUUACAACACAAAGUUGAAAGACAAAACACUGGGGAUCGCUGGCCACCAAAUCACUCAAGAGAUCUUGGAAGGGGUUCUGAACACCUUAGAGUCAUUUGCAGACCUACAGUUUAAACAUGUCUCUACAUAUGCUUUUUCUGAAAUUGUGAGAACACCUAUUGAAAACUUUUUUGCUGUGCAACAGAAACCACCAAUGAAAACAACAUUUCCCAAGUUACAAACACUGACUACGUUUCCUGAUGAAUCUAAACCAAGUAGUAUGAUUUCCCAGGAAAAGAUAAACAACGCCUUCAACAGCUUUAUUUUUUUCCAUUCAGAAUUGCUUACUUAUGCUGUUAAUACUGUUACUGACAUGCUUAGUAUAAUUAAGAACAAACUAGACAAAAAUGCACAAGGAACCAUCUUCAACUAGCAUAUUUGAAGAAAACAUUGUAGCAAGUCAGAUCAUCAGCACACUGAUAAACCAGUGCACUUAUUUCUAUGAGUUGAUGAUCAAAAGCCAUGCAAAGGAAAAUCUGCUCCAAGGAGCUAAAAAUGUCUACAGUGUUAAUUGCUCCCGAUUUACAACUGGACCAGAAAUGUCCACUUCAAAGUCAAAGGGAAUUAGCUGCUGGGAUGAUCCUCCACAAGUCUCCAGCUUGUUGUCUUAUUCAGAGGAAGAUAUGAAAAUAAAGGACAAGACUUCCUUAGAUGUACCUUCAUAUGUCAGAUACUCUACCGGAGAUUCAACUAAAACCAUAGAGCCAAUGGAAGGGCUCGAAUCCGAGUUUAAACCAUCAUCUCCUAGAAGUGAAGCCCAAGCCUUCAGCCAUUUUGAUCAAGCUGUGAAAGGAGACUACUCUCUCCCAGAAGGCACUGUCUUACAAAUUUCAUCUCAGAAAUCCAGUGACUCUGCACAGGCAGCACUAGAGCACCCCAUGUCUUUCAAAGAAGCGGAAGAGGGUGAAAAUCAAAGAGUGCUUCACUAUGAGCCCCUCAAACCAGUUGUUAACCCAGAUGAAAUACAGACUACCAUUUCUUCACUCAAAAUAUGUUUAGCUGCAGAAAAUAUUGUCAAUACCAUGCUGACAAGUUUUGGCCUUUCAAAUCAAACAUCACACACUACUGAAAAUAUGGAAACCAUGAAGCCGUUUUAUAUAUCAAAGGAAAUGCUUCAUUGCCUAACAUCUGAACAACUAAAGAAUGAGAAAAGCCUACUUAAAAUAUGGGGAAAAAGAAACAGCUAUGGAACUGAAGAAGAAAACAAAGGCCUUGUGGCAAGUGGAGAAGAUUCCAUUUUACUGGAAAAGUGGAAAAAUAAGUACCUGAAGUUAGAGAAAACUCUUGAAGAGCCUGGAGUCAUUGAUUUUGCUGAUUGGGAACUGGGACCACAUGAAGUCCACCUAGUAGCAAGAUAUGUUACUACAUCAGUGGUCACACAUUUCAACAACUUUGAAACCAAAGGUCCUGUUGAUGAAAAAGUAUCUAUUAGUUCCACACUACUAAGCAAAAAAUAUGAAUCAAAACAGCCUCUAAGAAGCAUCAACACUGAUUCUUCACUUAAUCAAUUUUGUGAACAUCUCACUGAACUGGUUAUUUCCUAUAUAAUUUCAAGCAUUUCUGAUUGUACCAAAGAUGGUGAAACAAAACAGAAAUCACUAAGAAAUGAAGACACAACUUAUAGCGAGGUUAUUUUAAUUCAUUCCCAAGUGUUUGAGCAUCGGUCAAUUUCUAUCAGAGGACUUGCUUUAAGCAUUUCUGAGGUCAUUAUUCAAAUCCUUUUAAAUAGUGACAUUUUAAAGGGAGAUGUUACAAAAGUGGUUUCUAUGAAAGCAAAAUAUAUUUAUUGCCCAAAAGCAGCUGUGGCUGAUUUCAGUGAUCUCUUUCAGGAUCUCUUAAUAGGAGUGAUCCAUGUUCUGUCCAAAGAAAUAGGAAUAAAUCAUCACCUUGACAGGAAAGGAAAAAACAAAUCACUCUCCACACCUAAAAGCCAUAGUUUGCUCAAUUGCAACAAAGCGAAAACUAUGAAAAGACAGAUACAUGCCAAAGGUUGGAAAUCAGCUCCUACUCACCAACUUAAUCAACUAAUACAGAAAGGUAAACUAAAUUCUCUAGCAUGUAAGUUAAACACUCUGGUUGGCAGCCUAAGAUCUCCUGAAUCCAAAGAAGUAGUCAACAAAAUUUUCAAUAUUGUUUUUGAUUUGUUUUUGCCAGAUGAAUGCCCAAAUUGGGAUACAGAUUCUGGUAAAACAGCAAGAAAAAAGUUCCUAUCUUCAAAUAACCCACAAAGUCAUAGAAUUCCUAGAAAUAACCUAGGGCUCUCCCCUAAAUCAGCUUUUCUUCUGAAUGUUGUGUGUGAGAAACUUAUUAGAAUGCUUUUGGGAAAAUGUACAACCAACAACUUUCUUACAAAUAGUCCUCUUUCUGACAAAAUAUCAAUAGAAGGUCAACUGUUCAACACACUUCAAAAUAUAGAUGAUUAUUCCAGUUUAACAAUGGACUAUGGCUUACCAUUUGAGGAAUAUGAUAUGUCAGACCUUUUUGAAAAUUUGGCAGAAAUAGAUCAAGAGUCUAUGCUUAGUAUUAUUUCCCAUAGCUUGGUAAAAUCCUUAAUGGAAAAAUUGUCAUGCGGUAUACAGCAACCUCCCAGAAGUCCACCAGUUACAGACAAACAUUUAACAUACAGGACAAGCGAGAGACUUCCCAGUUUCCCCAAAGCAAAAAGGCCAGAAUUAAAAGAAUCAAAACAGGGUAAAAACUCUGUGCGAUUCAUGAGUUAUGAUAGCAAACCUCUGACAGGACCAUCAGAUGAUCUUAGGGUGAUUCAUUCCAAGAUGCAAACCCCAUUCAGUAAGCAAUUUUCAGGAAAAUUCCCGUCUCUUCAAAGACCAGAUAAAAAGGCAACAGCCUUUCUUAACAUACAAUAUCCAGGAGGCAUGAACACGGGCGUGUACUCUGCCACAUUUCUGGAGGAAGUAAUUGUGGACAUUUUUCUUAAUCUCACCACCUCAUUGCAAGGCAAAAAUGUGAAUAUCACUGAAGCCCAGCUUAAUGAGAUGAAUAUAUUAGAUAUCAACUGCGUGGUGAAUGAGUUUAAUACUGCUCAAGUCACUGUUUUACGGGACAUUGAAGAAAAGAUGUGUUUUCCACCGGUCUAUAAAGAAACUGUUAGUAAGAUUGGUAACUCCAUUUAUAAUGAUGUAUCAUGGGACUACACAUUGCAAGUUACCUGUAGUGAUCAUCUGGCAUAUGCUGCCAUGUCAAUAGCAGAACAGAUAACUAGUGGCAUAUUGAAAGAGAGUAUAGACUACCAGCUCCCAUUGUGCUUUAUAAGAAAGCUCAUGCCUAAUUCAUAUCACCCUCUCAAAGCUGAAAAUAUACUACUGAAACUUCAAAACAACCUAAGUGAACUUAAUUACCAAAGUCAACAUUCAACAGGCUAUAUCACUAUGCUCUCCUACUCAUUUUUAGCAGAUGUCAUCAGAAGACUAUUAUCUCAGCUCAUUCUUCCACCCAUAGAGGCUUCAUGCUUAGGAAAUAAAUACCUAAAGACAUUAGAUUUUAAUGAAGUAUCCACCUGUAUAAUAAAUAAAGUUUUGUUAGCCAUUUCAAAGCAUAAAAUUUGGCUCACUAAAUAUGAUUGUCAAUGUGUAUAUACAGAACAAAACCUUCAAAAUAUGGUGGAGUCUAUUUAUAAUAAUAUUUUGCAGAUGUCUGACUCACUUGCGUCAAUACAGAAAAGCAUAGAAAGCCAAAGUCCAAUUAUGGUUGACCGAAUGGCCGGUCUUAUUAUUCAAGAGAUUAUUGAAAAUCAUCUUCAACCCUUUUUGUGUGAAGAGAGCUUACCUCAUUCAAUGUCUCCAUUGGAUGAAAUAUCAAAUAUGGUUAAAGAGGUUCUCGGUGAAGUCACAGGGUCACACAGACCCCAGAAGUCAUCAUCACUAGGUAUAAGCUUUUAUCCUAAUGCAUUUGUAGAAGAAAUUGUUGCCAGACUAUUAUCAAAGGUCUUCAAUCCAAAAUAUAACAUGGAGUGUGAUUUGGAUAAAAUGACCUCAAAAAUAGUAAACUCAAUAAACAACCAUUUUAAGAAGGCUAAAAUCUGUGUUCUUCGUGAUGACCAAGAGCAGCCAUUCCCCACUGUCGAUACAGACACCAUGGAUGAACUUGUCAAUUCAGUUUAUAAGAAUGUUCUGAAACAGCAUGGGCUGGCUGUUGAUAGUAAAGAACUCAAAGACAGUGAUAUUUUUGCAGAAAAUAUCACCAAUUUAAUUGUAGCAGCUAUAUCUGAUUAUCUUUUUCAUCCGCUGUUUUCUGGAGAUUUGUCAGCUUCUUCCUACACUAUUUUGACAGCAGAGAACAUAAUUCAGAACAUCUUUAGAGGCAUCACUAAACCUACCCAGCCAAGCCAGCAUUUAUCACCAUAUAACACUUUGCUGCCAUACACAUUUUUAGAAGAAAUAAUCAGAGAAUUAUUAUCUAGAAUCUUUCCUUCUGCAUCUAACAUGGUUCCAUACAGCAAAACUCCAAAAGAUAGAUCAGAAAGUAAUCACAGUGAAAUCUCUUCAAAGUUAAUCAGUGAUAUUAGAAUGAAAAUUUCUCAACAUGAGAUUCGAUUUUCAAAAGAUGAAGAUGAAACUGAAUCUGUUUAUUCAGAGGAUGAUGUUCAGUGUCUCGUUGAUUCCACAUUCAGAAAUAUCGGGCAAAACUCUGGGUCUGAAGAAGCAGUUGAGCACGAUAUCACAAGCAGUGACAAUGUUUUUAUUGAUAGAAUAGCAAGUUUUAUCAUUAAAAAUAUUUGCCAACAACAUCUUCAUCCAUUUUUGUACGGAAAGUUGUCAUUUACUUCAUCAUAUAGAUACUUUGAUAGUACAAGAAGAAGACAUUCUUUUUUUGCCCGUGUUUACUCCUCAGCCUUUUUGGAAGAUGUGAUCUCUGGAGUUUUAAGUAAAAUAUUCCACAGAGCAUUAGGUAUUGUACAAACAAAAUCACUAAGAGAUUCAGAAAAAGAACUGUUGGAAACAGCCAAAAAAUUCAUAUAUUUGAUAACGGAAGAAUUCUCAAAAGUUCAAGUUAGUACCCUAGAAAAUGCUGAGGAACAAUUGUGUUUGCCACCAGUAGAUAGAGACACAGUGAUAAAAAUUAUCAAUGCAGCAUAUAGCAAAGUUUUACAGGAAUAUGAACUGGAACCUAAUAAGGACUUUUUCAGUGACACCAAGACACUGGCUGAGAGGCUUACUAAAAUUAUCCUGGCUGAAGUUUUUGAUUUCCAAAUUCCUCCAUAUUUCAUAGCAAAGCUACCUUUCAAAUCAUAUUCAAAACUCAAUGCUGAUGUUUUGAUAAAGAGAGUUCAUUACACAAUCAAUACAUCAAGCCUCCGAAGACAGACUUGUACAACAUAUACCACCAUAUUGUCACAUACACAUUUGGAAAAAAUAGUAACUCAGGUUUUAUCUCAGAUAAGUCUAUUGAACUGCAAUGCAGAAGACCCAUACUUUUUGCAGUCAGACUUCAACAACACAGUUGUGAGUCUGAUUGAUGAAAUCAUGUCAAUAAUUUCUAAACAUGCAAUAUGCAUCAUUAAAGAUGGAAAUGAAAAUAAAAAUGUAAUUUCAGAAAACAGUAUCCAGGCUAUGGUUGAUGCCAUUUUUACUGCCAUUUCUCAUUCAAAGCUAUACCAGUCUGUUUCAAAAGAUAAAAAAGGCAUAAGUAAUAUACCUGUAACAAAAAUAGCAAGUUAUAUAAUAAGGGAAAUAUUUAACCAUCAUCUUGAGUCAUUUUUACCUGGAGAUAAAACUCUUCCUUGUACAGUGGAGCAAAUUUAUCAGCAGAGAGCAAUAGAUCCUAAACAAAGAGAAUUAUCCUUCAUCGUGAAUUCAGCUGUCUUUUUGGAGGAAGUAAUUUCUGAGCUUUUAUGCAAAAUUCUUUGUAUAUUCUCAUAUGUCUUGGCUACUGAAAAUCCAUGUAAAGCAAAAGCCAAUGUUACAGAUAUUGUUACAAGAUUAGUAAAAUCAAUUGUGCUGGAAUUCACCACUUCACAAAUUUUAGUUGCAGAUCACUUGCAUGAAAAUCUCUAUUUUUCAGAAGGAUACAAAGAAAUGGUUAGAAAAACUGUUAGCAUUAUUUAUGAAAAAAUAUUAGAUGAUUAUCAAUCUCUGUUUCAUAUUUAUAGAGCUAUACAAAAUGAUGCUGUUGGUUUUGGGGAAAAAAUAUAUCAUCUUCUGUUAGAAGAAAUUUAUGAUUAUCAGGUGGAGUCAUUAGUUUUAGGAAAAUUAGAAACUUCUUCCUAUUCCUCCCUCCAAGAGAAGAAUAUCAUCAGAAAUGUACUCAAUGCCAUCAACAAUGAUAGCCAUGACUUGCCAUCAUGCAUUACUGUAUUGCCUCGUUCCCUUUUAGAAAAUAUGACUUACAAGCUUCUGACACGUAUGUUUCCUUCACCUGAGACUCAAAUAGAACCAAACGAGGAAGAGGUGCCACCAGAUUAUGAGUUUGUGAAUACAGCUUCAAAACUAACUGAUGAUAUUAUAACAGAAAUUUCUGAACAUGAGAUUAGACUUGCCGAGGCAGAGGAACAUGUGGAAAAUUUGCAAUUAGGGGCAAUUGAUGACUUUGUUGACUCUAUAUGUAACAAUAUUAUUAAAAAAAUUAAGUUUGAAGAUGAAGUGCAGAAAGAUGCAUACAAAAGAGGAGGCUCAUUCCUUGGGAGAAUAGCUGGUUUCAUUAUGAAGGAAAUUGUGGACCACCAUCUGCAACCAUUUCUAUGUGAUGAAAAAUCAUUUCCCAGUGACUUACCCAGAAAUGAUGAUGUCAUUGAACUCUUGAAUCCCAUUAAAGAAAAAAUACAGUCCUUGCCCCAGACUUCUGUAUACUCUGCUACAUUUUUGGAAGAUGUCAUCUUUGACCUUGUUCGCAAAUUUUAUACUCUACCAAGAAUUGCUGAAAAUCCUAAGGACAAAGAGAUAUCGGAAAGAAGUAUGGGCCUGGCUAUUAAAUUUGCAAAUGUUCUGAUAGGGGAAUUUAGGAAAAGCGAAAUUAAAGUUCUAACAAAUGCUGAAAAAACGUUUGCAUUUCCACCAGUAGAUAAAGAAACAGUUGAUAAAGUAUGUGAUUCUGUGUAUGAUGAGGUGACAGAAAUAUAUGGAUCUAAAAAUGUUCAGAAACAUGAUAGAAGUAACAUUGUUAUAGAGAUGGUUGCUGCUUUAACUAAGAAGGCAAUCUCUGCUUUCAAGAUUCAGCCACUUUUUUCAGGAGGCCGGUCUUCCACCUUGUUUUCAUAUCUAGAUGUGGAUAGCAUCAUGCAAAGAAUUCAACACCUACCAUAUAAAACCUUUACAAAGAUAAACAGAAGCUUGAAGGAGAACCCAGUUUCUUCACUAGAACAGUUAUCUACACGUAUUCCCCUAAGCUCAGACCUGAAAAACAAAAUGGACACUUUGGAAAUAGACAGCAGAGCAGUUAAUGGAAAAGAGAACUUCAAAAAGAAGACAUCAAUGAAAACAGGCAGCAGCCAGCAGCCAAUAUGUAUUAAUAUAAGUAGUAUUAUGAAGAGCAAAGUAACUACCAUAGCAUUAGAGUCAGUUGGAGGUAUGGCAAAGAAAAAGAAAGGGGAUGAAAAGAAAAAGGAAACUUCAAUUGGAAAAGAUGAGAACGUAUCAAAACUUACUUCAACGACAACCAGUGUGAAAAGUAAAGAUACUCCGGGGCCAGAUUUGGGUACAGCAUUUACAAAGAAUGAAAUCAAGAAGAAAGACCACGUGUCUAGAAGAGAUGAGAAAGGGCGAGGUGAUGAGCUAUAUCAACAUCUUUCACCAGCUAUUGAUGAUACAAAAAACAAAGUUGUCCUGAAACCAAGUUUUGAAAUAUGUGGUAAAAAGAAGUGUGACAAGAAAAAAGGAAACAAAGUUGUCCUGAAACCAAGUUUUGAAAUAUGUGGUAAAAAGAAGUGUGACAAGAAAAAAGGAAGUUCAUUAGGAAAAGGGGAUAUACCUCUUGAAUUACCAUCUCUGACAUCCAAGGUGAGAAAUACAGAGAUCCAAAAAAAGAGGAGGGAUUCUCCAGCUUACCCAGCUACAAAUGGCAAACAGAUCUUACAUUCUAAACAUGCCCAAAAUGUCCCUGUAAGCAUUUACAGAAAUGUUUUAGAAACAUCAUCUCUCCAAGGACCAGUGGAUGAUUUAAAUUACCCAAGCCUCCUAGGUGAAAACGCAGCAUAUGUAACUCAAGCUUGUGGCAAGGAUUUUGCCCAGCAUGCCUCAGUGAAUUCAGCUAAACAAAAUGCUCCUGCAAAAGAGGAAGAGAAUGAGAUCCAAAGGCAACCUCGUAAAUGGGACAAUCCUCAGAACCUACUAGAAAAUAAAUCCAGGAUUUUCCCUGCUAACUUUUUAGAGGAUGUUAUCUUUGAAAUAGUUAACAAAUUGAUUUUUUCUUCUUCACUGGAUACAUAUGAUGCAUGUCAAAAUGUAACCAAUGAUGUAAAUCCAGCUGAGCUCUAUGGCAUGGCUAUGAAACUGAUUGAUUCCCUGUUAAAGGAGUUUUCAGAUGCUCAAAUUAAAGUAUUAAACCCAGAUCAAGGAAUUAAGUUCCUUCCAUCAGAGGAUAACGUUUCAGCAGUUCAUAAAGCACCUCUCAGGCAAAAAGAACUGUCUGUGGUUAAAAGACCUUCCAAGAAAAAGAUAAUUAUGGAUAAUAUACCACCCAUACAUAACAUGGUACCUACAACUAAAGUACCUUCUUCAGGUCAGACACCUUUUAUGGCUAAAAUACCAUCAAUUGAUAAAAUGUUGGUCAAUAAGAUUGUUCACUCCUCUAUAUGCAAUAUCUUACAGGAUUAUAGAUCUCAGGACUCCAUCUGUGAGGACAUAAAUUUUAAUGUUGAAAAAUUAGCAAAAAGGCUAGCUAAUGCAGUAAUAGAAGAAAUUCUUCAGUAUCAGCUAAACUUGCUAUUUUAUGAUGAGGGUUCAGAUCCAGAAUGUUUGCCUCUAGAAUCUAAGAAGGUUAUGAAAAAGGUCCAUAAAGUGGCCCAGACAGCCUGCAAAGAAUGUCAGACAUCAUCACCAUAUACCAUAAUGCUGCCUUAUGAAUUUGUAGAAAGGAUAAUUUCUUCUCUUCUAUCAAGAAUUUUCUCAGCAGUAGCCAAUGCUAAAACAGAAAUGUCUGAGGAUAAUUUGUACACAGAGUUAGAUUUCCUUCAAAUGAAGUUAGCAAGUACAGUUAAAACAGAGAUCUCCAAAGAUGAAGAUAUGAUUAUACAGUAUGUAAAAUCCUUACAUCCUAAUGAUGAUGAAAUUAUUCAGUUAGUGGUUCAAACUGUUUAUAAUAAUCUCUUGCCUCAAUUUGGAUCUCAAGAGAGCAUACGAAAGUGUAUUAGCAGUGGUUGCAAAAUCCUUUUAGAAGCCAUAGUUAAUUUAGUUGUACAGGAAGUGACUGGAAAUCAGUUACAAAACUAUUUUUCUGGAGAACUAACACCACUUCAGUGUACAGAAAUUGAUAGUACUAUUGACAAUAUCCUUAGAGGUGUUACCCAAACUAGUGAAGUUCCCCAGCCUCAACCAUCCCGGGCUUACAAACUGCCUUUUAACAUAAUAGAAGAAAUUGCUGUCAAGUUUUUGUCAAAGCUUCUAUCUAUGUUUCCAAAAGCAGAUAAGGAACAAAACAAUUUUCUGAACGCUGAAAUGCAAAAAAUAAGCUCAAAAAUCUUGAGUUCAUUUCAACAAUAUAUCUCUCAAAGUCAUAUUACAGUAGUGCCACAGGUCAAAGAGUCCUCCACUGUGUCUUUAACAGACAGUGCAACUAUUGAAAAAGUCGUUACUUCUGUUUAUAGCACUGUUCUAAAGCACUCUGGCUCCCAUAUUUCAGUGUACAAAGAUUUAAUGGGGAAGAGCAAUGUCCUUUCUGACAUAAUAGGAUUUUUAAUGGUGAAGGAAAUUUCCAAUUCAGAAUUUCAUCCUCAAGAACAGGAAGAAACAUCAAGUUCAGAGUUAGUUCUAGAACCCGUCAAAAUUAUGGAAAAGGUGGCUAAGAUUAUUGAUGAUCUGAAGUCAAAUAAAAAGUCUCCAACCAAAAAAGAGGCUGUAUUAGAUGCCAGGUUUUUAGAGGAAACACUUGCCUUGUUCUUGGCUAAACUAGUCAAGUUGCCAAGUGCCUCAAGCAAAGAUGCUGAAAACUUAUCAAAGCCUGAGUUAAAUAAAAUUGCAUCUCAAUUGACAAAAUCCGUGACAGCUGAAAUUUCCAGGAAAAACAUUCGUAUUGUAGCUGCCAAUCCUGAAGAAUACUUUUUAAAUCCAGAAAGCAUAGAAAUUAUUUCUCAGAUGGUUGAUUCUGUUUAUAAUUGUGUACUACAACAAUCUGGAACACAUGAAGAACUUUAUCAUGAUAUGAAAGAUACAAACUACAUCUUUCCUAAAGAAAUGGCUUCUUUAAUUAUCAGGAAAGUUUCCAGUUGUCCAUUAGCAAUGAUUAGCUCAGGAGAUCCAUGUGCUAAUCUCUUUGGUGAUUUGGACAUUGAUCGAAUUGUUGAAAAGGUGCAUGAGCGUGCUAUCAAAAUAGAACCUGGACUAGAGCAAAAAGGGUUAGAUCAAGGUUUAAGGCAAGAGGAGCUUUCGGUUAGGAUAAUUCCUCACCUUGGCAAAGAACCAAUUAAUAUUGAUCCCGACAUUGUUGCAGAGCACUUAGGGGUCAUUUCUAUAAAAACACAGUCUCUUGAGAAGCUGCAGACUGAGUGUUUAGCUAGAACUGGACACAGCAUUGAAACACUGAGAAGAGCAUCAAUAAAUGGGAAGAGUUACUCAACUGAGAUACCUGCUGCGGGAAACAGAAAGAAAGAAAAACGCAUUUAUUUGGAUCAGAUGGGACGACUGAAUGUAAAGCCUUUAGAGACUUCUAGUAGAAAUUCAUUUCAGAGCUUAAUAAAGCCCGACAUCACCAAAGUGGAGCUUUUAAAAGAUGUUCAAAGCAAAAAAGAUCUUAUCAUUCGGUUAAUCAUUCGGUCAAUAAUUCAA
Bubalus bubalis (water buffalo) is the source of this 20243-nucleotide RNA transcript. It is a transcript of the gene named fibrous sheath-interacting protein 2, with no coding region annotated. The transcript is spliced from 18 exons. NCBI's taxonomy places the organism in Eukaryota, Metazoa, Chordata, Mammalia, Artiodactyla, Bovidae. The record is from RefSeq and is a predicted model, not a curated record.